CGUCAAAUCAUCAUGCCCCUUAUGUCCAGGGCUACACACGUGCUACAAUGGUAGGUACAAUAAGAGGCAAGACCGUGAGGUGGAGCAAAACUUAUAAAGCCUAUCUCAGUUCGGAUUGUAGGCUGCAACUCGCCUACAUGAAGCUGGAGUUGCUAGUAAUCGCGAAUCAGAAUGUCGCGGUGAAUACGUUCCCGGGCCUUGUACACACCGCCCGUCACACCAUGAGAGCUGGUAACACCCGAAGUCCGUGAGGCAACCGUAAGGAGCCAGCGGCCGAAGGUGGGAUUAGUGAUUGGGGUGAAGUCGUAAACAAGGUAGGCGUAGGAGAACCUGCGGCUGGAUCACCUCCUU
This 351-nucleotide ribosomal RNA is filed under the name bacterium enrichment culture. RNAcentral's name for it is "bacterial SSU rRNA". It matches the Rfam family "Bacterial small subunit ribosomal RNA", at positions 1183 to 1532 of the family's 1533-position model. The record is from RNAcentral.